This 540-nucleotide ribosomal RNA is filed under the name Steinernema feltiae. Its description in RNAcentral is "partial large subunit ribosomal RNA". It matches the Rfam family "Eukaryotic large subunit ribosomal RNA", at positions 399 to 944 of the family's 3401-position model. Lineage: Eukaryota; Metazoa; Nematoda; Chromadorea; Rhabditida; Steinernematidae. The record is from RNAcentral.
GUGAACCGAUAGGAUGGAAGCAGAUGAAGUUGACGAACGUGUGUCGUAUUCAAAAUCGCUGUCAGCGGUUUGUUUUUACGGCCGAUGUGGGCCGGCGGCUUUGGUCAAUGCAACGCGUCUAGCGUCGAUGGUGACCCUGCGGAGGGACAAUCAGUCGUCGUACGGUGCUUGGUAUGGCUAAGGUUUCGCCGGUCUUAAAGUCAGCGCCUCAUCUGACCCGUCUUGAAACACGGACCAAGGAGUGUAGCGUUUGCGCAAGUCUUAGAGUGUAUCGAAACUUUGAGGCGUAACGAAAGUAAAUGCAGUUUAAUCUGCUGACUUGGGAUGCGUUGUCUCUUGUGGACGGCGCUGGACCAAGGUUUUAUCGCGAUCGCUUGCGGUGCGGUGAAAAUAGAGCGUAAACGGUGCGACCCGAAAGAUGGUGAACUAUGCCUGAGCAGGAUGAAGCCGGAGGAAACUCUGGUGGAAGUCCGAAGCGGUUCUGACGUGCAAAUCGAUCGUCUGACUUGGGUAUAGGGGCGAAAGACUAAUCGAACCAUC